CGUGUAGGCGGCUUGAUAAGUCAGAUGUGAAAGCCCUGGGCUUAACCCAGGAAGUGCAUUUGAAACUGUCUGGCUAGAGUAAGGGAGGGGGAAGUGGAAUUCCUGGUGUAGAGGUGAAAUUCGUAGAUAUCAGGAGGAACACCGGUGGCGAAGGCGACUUCCUGGCCCUAUACUGACGCUGAGACGCGAGAGCGUGGGUAGCAAACA
This 207-nucleotide ribosomal RNA is filed under the name uncultured delta proteobacterium. Its description in RNAcentral is "partial 16S ribosomal RNA". It matches the Rfam family "Bacterial small subunit ribosomal RNA", at positions 568 to 774 of the family's 1533-position model. The record is from RNAcentral. Lineage: Bacteria; Deltaproteobacteria.